Molecule: ribosomal RNA, 298 nt
Filed under: Cercopithecus sp. T1713
Lineage: Eukaryota; Metazoa; Chordata; Mammalia; Primates; Cercopithecidae
Description: partial 12S small subunit ribosomal RNA
Source: RNAcentral
UUAGCCCUAAACCUCAGUAGUUAAAACAACAAAACUACUCGCCAGAAUACUACAAGCAACAGCUUGAAACUCAAAGGACUUGGCGGUGCUUCACAUCCCCCUAGAGGAGCCUGUCCCAUAAUCGAUAAACCCCGAUCUACCCCACCCUCUCUUGCUCAGCCUAUAUACCGCCAUCUUCAGCAAACCCUGAUAAAGGUUACAAAGUGAGCGCAAAUGCCCAUCUUCGCAAAAACGUUAGGUCAAGGUGUAGCCCAUGAGAUGGUAAAAGAUGGGCUACAUUUUUUAUCUCAGAAAACCC